This 429-nucleotide ribosomal RNA is filed under the name Actinomycetes bacterium. RNAcentral describes it as "Actinobacteria bacterium partial 16S ribosomal RNA". It matches the Rfam family "Bacterial small subunit ribosomal RNA", at positions 355 to 776 of the family's 1533-position model. The record is from RNAcentral. Lineage: Bacteria; Bacillati; Actinomycetota; Actinomycetes.
UAGGGAAUCUUCCGCAAUGGGCGAAAGCCUGACGGAGCAACGCCGCGUGAGUGAUGAAGGUCUUCGGAUCGUAAAACUCUGUUAUUAGGGAAGAACAAAUGUGUAAGUAACUAUGCACGUCUUGACGGUACCUAAUCAGAAAGCCACGGCUAACUACGUGCCAGCAGCCGCGGUAAUACGUAGGUGGCAAGCGUUAUCCGGAAUUAUUGGGCGUAAAGCGCGCGUAGGCGGUUUUUUAAGUCUGAUGUGAAAGCCCACGGCUCAACCGUGGAGGGGCAUUGGAAACUGGAAAACUUGAGUGCAGAAGAGGAAAGUGGAAUUCCAUGUGUAGCGGUGAAAUGCGCAGAGAUAUGGAGGAACACCAGUGGCGAAGGCGACUUUCUGGUCUGUAACUGACGCUGAUGUGCGAAAGCGAGGGGAUCAAACAGG